Molecule: ribosomal RNA, 252 nt
Filed under: uncultured bacterium
Lineage: Bacteria
Description: partial 16S ribosomal RNA
Rfam family: Bacterial small subunit ribosomal RNA
Source: RNAcentral
UACGGAGGAUGCGAGCGUUAUCCGGAUUUAUUGGGUUUAAAGGGUGCGUAGGCGGGAUGCCAAGUCAGCGGUAAAAAUGCGGUGCUCAACGCCGUCGAGCCGUUGAAACUGGCGUUCUUGAGUGGGCGAGAAGUAUGCGGAAUGCGUGGUGUAGCGGUGAAAUGCAUAGAUAUCACGCAGAACUCCGAUUGCGAAUGCAGCAUACCGGCGCCCUACUGACGCUGAGGCACGAAAGCGUGGGUAUCGAACAGG